This is a non-coding RNA of Delphinapterus leucas (beluga whale), 846 nucleotides long. NCBI's taxonomy places the organism in Eukaryota, Metazoa, Chordata, Mammalia, Artiodactyla, Monodontidae. The record is from RefSeq and is a predicted model, not a curated record.
CUUACAGUAACUUGGCUUUCAGUUUAUGUGAUUUGCCAGAAACAAUUAACCAGAUCAUUCAGGAGUGGAAACUGGGGUAGUAAGUUUCCAUGGGCGGGUGUGGUCAGUGGCGCUUGAGGGGGAAUCAGGAAAGGUCCGAGUCUGGGAGGUCCCAGAUUUUACAAUAAGCUUCGUUGAGUAUCUCAGAAAGAUAUUGGACAACUAAAGCUCACCAAAAGUUGUGGGCAUGGAAAGCAAGGGAAACGGGAAAAUACAUCUCCAAAAGAAGUGCCCUUUCAUUGUUUUGGCAUAUGAGGGAAUGAUGAAGAUGAAAAGCGUUUUUGUCCCCUGAGGAGUCUGUGUGGAAUAAUGAACCAUUGCUGGACAUCAUUUGGCCUUUCCAUUUCUUCACAGCUACCAAGAGCCUCACAACUUCACUGCACCUUCCCUGGUUUUUAUUGAAUGAAACGCUUGAGAGCACCUCUUGUAUGAUAGACAGUGGGUUGGCGCUCAAGAUGCAAAGUUGAACAAGACACAGUGCCUGCACUCAAGAAGUUCGUGGUCUGUUGGGUGAAAUACAUAUAAACAGAGCAAUAAAACAGCGUGGAAAGGGCACUGUAUACUAUACUAUGACAAGAACGAGGAAGAUGGAACUGACCGUGUGGGGGAACUGGGGGCAUCUAACAGAGGAGAAUAUGGCAGCCGUUAGAAACCUCUAGAAGCCGUGAACAGCCCUUAGCUACAGCCAACAAGAAAACAAGAUCUUGAUCCUACAGCCACAUAGAACAGAACUCUGCCAACAACUGGAUGAACAAGGGCAUGUGGGAUCUCAGUUCCCCGACCAGGGAUUGAACCCAUGUCUCCUGC